Molecule: non-coding RNA, 69 nt
Organism: Rattus norvegicus (Norway rat)
Lineage: Eukaryota; Metazoa; Chordata; Mammalia; Rodentia; Muridae
Source: Rfam
GGGGAUUUAGCUCAGUGGUAGAGCGCUUACCUAGCAAGCACAAGGCCCUGGGUUCGGUCCCCAGCUCCA